UGGGCGCAAGCCUGAUCCAGCCAUGCCGCGUGAGUGAUGAAGGCCCUAGGGUCGUAAAGCUCUUUCGCCAGGGAUGAUAAUGACAGUACCUGGUAAAGAAACCCCCGGCUAACUCCGUGCCAGCAGCCGCGGUAAUACGGGAGGGGGUUAGCGUUGUUCGGAAUUACUGGGCGUAAAGCGCGCGUAGGCGGACUGGAAAGGUUGGGGUGAAAUCCCCGGGGCUCAACCCCGGAACUGCCUACCAAAACUCCCAGUCUUGAGUUCGAGAGAGGUGAGUGGAAUUCGAGUGUAGAGGUGAAAUUCGUAGAUAUUCGGAGGAACACCAGUGGCGAAGGCGGCUCACUGGCUCGAUACUGACGCUGAGGUGCGAAAGUGUGGGGAGCAAACAGGAUUAGAUACCCUGGUAG
This 407-nucleotide ribosomal RNA is filed under the name uncultured bacterium. RNAcentral's name for it is "bacterial SSU rRNA". It matches the Rfam family "Bacterial small subunit ribosomal RNA", at positions 372 to 793 of the family's 1533-position model. The record is from RNAcentral.